UGGGGAAUUUUGGACAAUGGGCGAAAGCCUGAUCCAGCAAUGCCGCGUGUGUGAAGAAGGCCUUCGGGUUGUAAAGCACUUUUGUCCGGAAAGAAAUGGCUCUGGUUAAUACCUGGGGUCGAUGACGGUACCGGAAGAAUAAGGACCGGCUAACUACGUGCCAGCAGCCGCGGUAAUACGUAGGGUCCAAGCGUUAAUCGGAAUUACUGGGCGUAAAGCGUGCGCAGGCGGUUGUGCAAGACCGAUGUGAAAUCCCCGAGCUUAACUUGGGAAUUGCAUUGGUGACUGCACGGCUAGAGUGUGUCAGAGGGGGGUAGAAUUCCACGUGUAGCAGUGAAAUGCGUAGAGAUGUGGAGGAAUACCGAUGGCGAAGGCAGCCCCCUGGGAUAACACUGACGCUCAUGCACGAAAGCGUGGGGAGCAAACAGGAUUAGAUACCCUGGUAGUCCACGCCCUAAACGAUGCCAACUAGUUGUUGGGGAUUCAUUUCCUUAGUAACGUAGCUAACGCGUGAAGUUGACCGCCUGGGGAGUACGGUCGCAAGAUUAAAAGCUCAAAAGGAAUUGA
Molecule: ribosomal RNA, 567 nt
Filed under: uncultured bacterium
Lineage: Bacteria
Description: partial 16S ribosomal RNA
Rfam family: Bacterial small subunit ribosomal RNA
Source: RNAcentral